CAGUCGCCACGGGAAUACAGAGGGUGCGAGCGUUAAUCGGAUUUACUGGGCGUAAAGCGUGCGUAGGCGGCUUCUUAAGUCAGAUGUGAAAUCCCUGAGCUUAACUUAGGAAUUGCAUUCGAUACUGGGAAGCUAGAGUAUGGGAGAGGAUGGUAGAAUUCCAGGUGUAGCGGUGAAAUGCGUAGAGAUCUGGAGGAAUACCGAUGGCGAAGGCAGCCAUCUGGCCUAAUACUGACGCUGAGGUACGAAAGCAUGGGGAGCAAACAGGAUUAGAUACCCCGGUAGUCCCUGUCUCUUAUAC
This 301-nucleotide ribosomal RNA is filed under the name uncultured bacterium. RNAcentral describes it as "partial 16S ribosomal RNA". It matches the Rfam family "Bacterial small subunit ribosomal RNA", at positions 509 to 807 of the family's 1533-position model. The record is from RNAcentral.